Non-coding RNA from Cajanus cajan (pigeon pea), 329 nucleotides. NCBI's taxonomy places the organism in Eukaryota, Viridiplantae, Streptophyta, Magnoliopsida, Fabales, Fabaceae. The record is from RefSeq and is a predicted model, not a curated record.
AUAUCAAUCUUAGCAUUCGCAUAUCAAUCUUCUAAGAAGUGAGUAAAAUCAUUGCAAAAUGCCUUUUCGCAUCAAUCAAGCUUUCCUUUUGGGGAUGCUAUGCAUUGCUUUGGUUUUGGAUUCAGGAGUAGGAGGAGGACUAUUUCCGGGACUAAGCUGCCAACAAGGAAAAUGCGCGAGUAACACAGUGUGCGACCAGAAUUGUCAUAACAGUGGCUUUCAGAAAGGAGGCACAUGCAUAGGAAUUAUUCCAGGCCUUAUCCAGUGCUGUUGUUACAAAUGAUCGACCACUUGUAUGAAAAAUCAAAUAAAACUUACCAAGAACUUCU